This 2222-nucleotide long non-coding RNA is filed under the name Pan troglodytes (chimpanzee). Its description in RNAcentral is "long non-coding RNA NONPTRT015530". The record is from RNAcentral. Lineage: Eukaryota; Metazoa; Chordata; Mammalia; Primates; Hominidae.
UAUAUUAAAUAUAGAAUGAAAAGAAUUUAGAAAGCAAAAACAAUGUUUAUAAGUGAACUUUUAAAAUCAGAUGCAGACAUGUAAAUGAAAAUGUUACCAUUGUAUGAGGACCUAUGUUAAUUUUUGCAUAACGUUUGUUUCCAGGGGUUCCUGUUGAGAUUAAAGUAAAUGCAUUUACCAGCAUACAUGUCAUGGAAGACUGACUCUGCACCAUGCUCUGUGACAAAAGGCUUCAAGAUUAAACCGGUUUGCCCUUCUACCGUGAAGGUGAGCAGUGAAGUCUAUUGCCCAGGGAUUGGGGACAUUUGUAUUAAAGAAGGUUUUGGAGUACAGAAGCAGGAAGAUGUGUUGUGGAGAUGCUGUUGGCAGAAACAACUGGCCUUGACUAAACAAACCAAGAGUUCCUACAGGAGCAGAGACAACUGGGUGAAGGCUGACGCCCUUGCACAGGCUUGGGCAGCUCUUCUCCACAUGUCCACGUGGCUCACUUCCUUACCUACUUCAGGGCUCUGCUCACACGUCACCUCCUCAAGAAGGCCUUCCCCAACUACCCUGUCCUCACUCCCACCCCUUACCCCUGCAUUCCUUGUCCCUCUCACUCUGCUGUGGUUUUUCCUACCUGACAUAGAACAGGUUUAUCUCCCUGUUGUCUAGCAGGCUUUUAUCCAGUUCUGCUUUGCUGGACUGUAUGAAGUAAGUCCCAGUUCCUGGGCUUUAUCACUCAGCAUGGGUGGAACACACGAAAAUGGGAUUUUCCUGUUCCCACUACAGCACUUUCUUGUGGAUACCACAUCUCCCCACGUGCAAUAUUCUAUUCCCAUCUCACUCUUACCUUGUGCAGAGCUAUUUUCUCAGAGCGUGAGUCUCCGAACGGAAAAUCUACUGCUUUGUGCCCUGCCUGAGGAUAAGCUUCACCAGAGCAGUCUAUAUUGUUGUUGCUGUUGUUGUUGUUUAUUGCUGUAUUCCUAGCUUCUAGAACAGUGCCUGGCAUGGCACUCAGUGGCAUGAGUAAAUUUAUGAGUAUAUAUAAUGGACAAGUUUGGGAGAAGAUAAUUAGUUUGGAAACGGGAGAGUUUAGUGGGAGAGACAGGGCCCUGACUACUUCAAAAAGCAGCAGUACUAUAAGAGGACAGUUUCUAUUUUUCUGCCUGGUCUAGGACUUGUACUGGUCUUUCAACUUGAAUUCAUGCAGCAAGACAGUGGUGGUGAAAAGAUAAAGGCAUUUCUACCUGGGUAGACAGUUUCUUUUUCUGGAGACAAGAAUUGAGAAGGCCUACCAGAUUCUGGCAGUGAGUUGACUGUACUUGUUUUUAGCAUUGUGAAUUUUUGCCUUCAUAUGAAUUUAAGUAGGGAGUUUAGCAAUGCUGUUUCAGGGUUUCCAUCCAGAUUUUCUGUUUCAAAUUGGACAUCUAUUUGCACCUUUAAUUCGCGUAACAAAUACUUCACAGAGAAUAUAAAGUUGAAUUAUGGGCAGCUCAAUUCAUCCCCCCAAAGGCAAACAAGAGAUGGCAGGUCCAAGUUAUGCCUAUAUUACACAGUAGAGAUUAUUUUAAGUGUUUUGUCAUUGCUUCCAAGUUCACACAAAUGCUUCUUACUAAUUUAUAUUGGUCACAUUCACUAUUCUUAUUUGGUACUCAUUAGUGACUUUGUACUCUCUUAAAGAAAAUAAACCUCCAGAUUAACUAAAACAUUUAAAUAUGAAUUGUACAUAGGCUUUAUUCAUUUAUAAAAUGCAAAGAAAUUAAGAUUAAAAGGAAAACCACAUCAAAACCCAGAGACACAAAUAAAAUGCAUUUAAAUGGCUCUUUGGUAGUUUAUUGAUGCUGAGAUAGUUUUUUUCUCCCCUUGAAAACAUAUAAAAUUUUCUUUUCAUCUUCCCUGAAGCAUAUCCAAAUAAGUUAGUGACUACAUAAUUAAUAUCCAGGUAUUUUGUGAUAUUUGGAUAAUAGGCUUCAACUUCUUCUAAACUUAUUUUAUAUUUCAGACCACACAUUUGCCGUUUGUUGAUAAUGUUUUUGGUUGCAGCCUGAGAUAUUUCCAGGUCUAAAGCCAGGUUCACAUUUUGCUUUGAAGAGACAGAAAUUCCAAACAAAUACAGAUAGUCAGGCCAUAAACUUAAUUAAAAUUUCUGCUUUACUGGAUGUUACAUUAAAUAUGGCCAUAAUGCCAAGAGAAAUACUUGAAAAAUCCAUUUGCAUCCACAUACUGCUGCUUCCACAUAG